Molecule: non-coding RNA, 7487 nt
Organism: Chlorocebus sabaeus (green monkey)
Lineage: Eukaryota; Metazoa; Chordata; Mammalia; Primates; Cercopithecidae
Source: RefSeq, a predicted model, not a curated record
AGGAUGACUGUGAGGCUCAGGGAUAAUGGGAAUAUAGUAGGAGCUGAACUGAAAGCAUUCUGGUUAUUUCCGUGGUCACUAUUGCCGCCCCACCACACCUGAUUGCAGCCCCUGGUGCUACACCAGCUACAUUUGCUUCGUGUGACAGCAGGCUGUGGACAAGACUGCCUUGACCACUAGACUGCAAGCUCGCUGUGGGCCAGGCUCACGAUUCGCCCCCGGAUCUCCUAGCCCUGGCACCGAGCCGGCACUGGGGGCGCUCCAUGACUGUAGAAUAAGUGGAGAAAGCGACAGGGAUAAACGUAGAAAAACAAGCACAGACAGAUGGAGAGAGGGCAGCCUGGGAGGCAGAUAUUUCCGGGAGUCUCCACCGAAGGACAGGGAGGGCGGAGUCAGAAUCGGAGGCUGGGGCCUGGCUCGGGAGGCGGGGCCUGGUUCGGGGGCGGGUCUUGGCGCGGACCCCUCCCCGGUCCGUCUGCGAACGUGCUCCGCUGCCUCAGUCCGCCCGCCGCUGCGCCCCGGAGUGCAAGUGAGCCUCUCGGCUGCCCCGCGGGCCGGGCUGCGGAGCCGACAUGCGCCCGCUGCUUGGCCUCCUUCUGGUCUUCGCUGGCUGCACCUUCGCCUUGUACUUGCUGUCCACGCGACUGCCCCGCGGGCGGAGACUGGGCUCCACCGAGGAGGCUGGAGGCAGGUCCCUGUGGUUCCCCUCCGACCUGGCAGAGCUGCGGGAACUCUCUGAGGUCCUUCGAGACUACCGGAAGGAGCACCAGGCCUACGUGUUCCUGCUCUUCUGCAGUGCCUACCUCUACAAACAGGGCUUUGCCAUCCCCGGCUCCAGCUUCUUGCAUGUUUCUCUCCUCUAGGCUGAGGCUGGACCUGCUCAAGCAGUUUCCUUAUCGGAAACUAGAAGAAAAGCAGACAUGUCCAAGAGAGGCAGGGGAGAAUGUUUUAGCUGGUGCCUUGUUUGGGCCGUGGCUGGGGCUUCUGCUGUGUUGUGUGUUGACCUCGGUGGGUGCCACAUGGUGCUACCUGCUCUCCAGUAUUUUUGGCAAACAGUUGGUGGUGUCCUACUUUCCUGACAAAGUGGCCCUGCUGCAGAGAAAGGUGGAGGAGAACAGAAACAGCUUGUUUUUUUUCUUAUUGUUUUUGAGACUUUUCCCCAUGACACCAAACUGGUUCUUGAACCUCUCGGCCCCAAUUCUGAACAUCCCCAUCGUACAGUUCUUCUUCUCAGUUCUUAUCGGUUUGAUCCCAUACAAUUUCAUCUGUGUGCAGACAGGCUCCAUCCUGUCAACCCUAACCUCUCUGGAUGCUCUUUUCUCUUGGGACACUGUCUUUAAGCUAUUGGCCAUUGCCAUGGUGGCAUUAAUUCCUGGAACCCUCAUUAAAAAAUUUAGUCAGAAACAUCUGCAAUUGAAUGAAACAAGCACUGCUAAUCACAUACACAGUAGAAAAGACACGUGAUCUGGAUUUUCUGUUUGCCACGUCCCUGGACUCAGUUGCUUAUUUGUGUAAUGGAUGUGAUCCUCUAAAGCCCCUCAUUGUUUUUAAUUGCCUUCUAUAGGUGAUAUGGACACUGUGCAUCAAUGUGCAGUGUCUUGUCAGAAAGGACACUCUGCUCUUGAAGGUGGAUUACAUCAGGUUUUCAAACCAGCCCUGGUGUAGCAGACACUACAAUGGAUGCCUCCUAGAAAAUGCUGUUUGUGGCCGGGCGCGGUGGCUUACGCCUGUAAUCCCAGCACUUUGGGAGGCCAAGGCGGGUGGUUCACAAGGUCAGGAGUUCAAGACCAGCCUGGCCAAGAUGGUGAAAUCUUGUCUCUAUUAAACAUACAAAAAUUAGCCAGGCAUGGUGGCAGGCGCCUAUAAUCCCAGCUACUCGGGAGGCCGAGGCAGGAGAAUUGCUUGAACCCAGGUGGCAGAGGUUGCAGUGAGCCGAGAUCACACCACUGCAUUCCAGCCUGGGUGAUAAGAGUGAGACUCUGUCUCAACAAAAAAAAAAAAAAAAAAAAGGAAAGAAAAAGAAAAUGCUGUUUGUAUUAUAUUUUGUGGUCUAAUAAGGAGCUCAGGAUAGCCUGUUGUAUUUGCCUCAUGCCAGCCCCUGAGCUGCCUUGGGAGAAGAUGCUGACUGUCCUUGUCCAGAGUACCACUUUUGCAGAGUGACAGGCUGUUGGGGCAGAUGUCCUCCUGUUGCAUCCUUGUGGAUGGUUGGUACCGAUGAUGACAUGGGAACCCACAUCACUGACACGCUCUUCGUCUUCUGUUCGUCUCUUGAAGAGCAUUUCUUUUGUACUUUUUUGCUGAUGACCUACCUCUUCAUAAGCCAAGUGAAACAAGUUGACGAACUGCCUAGGACUUCCACAUAUUGGUCACAUGCAUGAUGAUUUCUGUCAUGCUCUUGUGUUCAGACACACUGAUGUUACCAUGUAUGUCAAACCUACUUGUGAUUGCAUGUCCUGACAGUUAAGCUGAUUGCAAACAGACUAUUAAAUAUGAAUGGAGCAAAUGCUGUAUGUUAUGGAUAUGUUCUGGAGAAAUUCUUAUCUAUCUGGAUGGGGUAGGGCCCUUGACUCACCUGAAUCAGAUGACCAGGCAAACAUUUUAUCUGUCAUUUCUGCAGGAAUCCCUUCUGUGUCAUGCUAGGAGAAUGAGUUCAGUAUAUGGGGCCAUCAGGCAGUAUACCUUCUGAAUGUUUUUCAUUUUUUUAUUUGCUGAGAGUAACCAAAGAAUAAUUGCAUCUUUUAAUAAUUUUAUGUCUUAAUUCAAAGGGAAACCUUGGCUUCUGAUAACUUCGUUGUUUGUAUCUUAAUGCGCUAAGCUGUCAUUACUUCCUCUAGCUGCAGUACGGAAUUGGCACAGACCUGGAUGAAUGGUUCCAAAGACAGAGGGACUUUGGCACCUAAACUGACCAGCCCUGUGAUCCUGCACCCCGCAGGAGUAUCUCAUCAGGACUUACCAGACCGUGGCUCUUGGAUAUCAUCUGCCGGGUUGAUGAUUUGGUUUGGCCAAGGGUCUUGCCAAGACUUUAAUCUAGGCCUCUUGUUCUACAUGAAUUCUUGGGAAUACUCAUGUUCCAUGGGGAGAGUGCAUUCCCAGGUGAUGGUUUUUGGUUAUGGUAUGAUCCUUUCACACCAAGGAUUUCAUUGUUGAAAACGUGUUUCUUUACAAGAAGCCUUGAUAAUGAGAGUGGGGGAAGGAGGCAGCAGACUUUGAAGACUGUGGCCCUUGGUGUUCUGGAGUAGGGGGAGGGAAGGAGAAAUGUGUUUUCCACAGCAUCGCAAGUGUGUGCCCUUUGCCCCUUUUCAGGAAUCUUAGAUUUGCCUCCCUCCCUCCACCCCAAUGAUUUUGCAAUAAUGUGCCUUAUCAGUUGUGAGUUUACAGGCAAAGCAAUUUCCCAAAUAAAUGGAUAUAAGUGUUCUGUGUGGUGCUUGUUUGAACAUGUUGUUAACUUUCAACCACCCUUGCCAGUGGAAAUUAGGAUUGGCUGAAAAUCAGACAGUCCAAAAUGGUGUUUUAAGCUUUCCACUCUCAGGAUGCUUCUUACCAAAAUAAUUUAUUGGAAGCCAGAUUUUCAUCUUCUUUUUCUCUCUCUGCUCCCUGUAUAGUGGGGUCACUAGUAACAGGAGUAGUUACCAGAUGGGCAGCAGGAAAGUAUAGGGAAGAAGCAGAGUGCUGGUCUAACCUUUACAGAAUAGUCAAGAAGAGGCUGUCACCAAAUACAAUGAUGAUUGCCUCUUCCUUUCGUGGCUGUGUCAAAUGUAACAAUCACAAACUAGCUUUCUCCAUUACCUGUGUUUUUGUGGCUGCAGGAAACCCAGUCAUGGAAAGUCUUCCUUUCCCUCAAGUUCUGACAAGUGCUGAGAUUGUUAAGGCAACUCUUGGGACACAAACAGUACAUUUAGAAAAAGACAGGACUAGGAAACAGUGAAGUACACUUUUUGUUUAAUUCCAUGCAUUUGUUUGCUUUGAUAGUCAUUCUUGUUCCCAUUGCUGUUCAAUACAGAGAGGGAGCCGGCAUCAGAAAACACUGGAAGCUGGGGACUGACAGUACGGGAGACCAGAGGGGAGGCAGGUGCUGAAACUUUCCAUCAAUGAAGCAGCUUGAAAUCACAGUCUUGUGAGGUUCCUGGAAGCACUGCUAACACACUUGUUGGGACUGAAGAAUUAGCUCAUAACUUCCCUGAGCUCUUGAUUCAACACUCUUCAGAUGACUGUGGAGUCGUUCUCAAAGAAACAUACAUCAAUUCAAGAUUUUCCUGGUUAUCACAAGGCAGGCAGCAAAGGACCAGGCUGGGCUAGAAAAGGUAUUUCGCUUUUUAACCUCCACUGAGGACAUUAUUCUUCUCUGAAACCUACUCAAUUCUACUCAAAAAAAUGUCUUCAAUAUGGACUUUAUUCAACUCUCGACUAUACAAUGAAUGACUGAGAUUCAGCGACUCCGUACUACCCUAACAUACUCAUAACAGUUAAUCCAGAUAAGGUGUAUGAUGACAAUAGUGUAACAGAUAAUCAAGAUGAGAAUUUAAAAAAAUACUGAUCAAAAUUAUGAGGUAUCAGGGGUAGGUUUUCUAGGAAGACCAUCACUGAAAGGUGGAAGAUAGAAGCUGGCCCUCACGCUUCUCUGUUACCACUGAAGGUGCAAGAAUUGGACAAAAGUGCCAGCGUUUCAUGUUGGAUAGAAAGAAGACAUAGAGUUGUAGCAUCUCAGUUCCAAGGAAUAAUGAACCAGAGAGAUUUGCAGUACAGUGAGAUGUGAAGUCAGAGGAUGGAAAAUAUGGCCUUUCAAGAUAUUUUUCCAGUGCUUGGUUCUCUAAGUGACCAGGCCUCCUUCUUAAAGUUCUUUAGUCUUGUUCUAGGAUGACAUCACAGUUAGGCAUUUUAUGUCAUGCCCUACAUGUAUAUACAGUAGUCCUCCCUUAUCUCUGGGGGAUACAUUCCAAGACCCCCAGUGGAUGCCUAAAAACUCUGGUAGUACCAAACCCUAUAUAUACUAUGUUUUUUUUUUUUUUUCUAUACUUACAUAUCUAUGAUAAAAUUUAAUUUGUAAAUUAGGCACAGCACUCUUGCCCUUUGGGGCUAUUAUUAAUCAAGUAAGGGUACUUGAACACAAGCACUGCGAUACAGUCAUCUGAUAACUGAGACAGUUGCUCUGAUCACUGAGACUGCUACUAAGUGACUAAUGGAUGAGCAGCAUGAAUAUGCUGGACAGAGGCAGGAUCACAUCCAGGGCAGCAAGGGGCAAGAUCUCAUCAUGCUCCUCAGAAUGCCAUGCAAUUAAAACUUAUGAAUUGUUUAUUUCUGGAAUUUUCCAUCAAAUAUUUUUGGACUGUGGUUGAGCAUAACUGAAACCAUGAAAAGUGAAGCCAUGGGUAAGAGGGGACUACUGUAUACCAUUUCUUUUUUCAGUCUCCCUGCUACUCCCCACUAGGAGAACAAAGAUGGGAGAAUAAAGGGGUCUGGUAGGAAGGAGAUUGCAAACUAUGUUGUCAGUUCUUGAAAUGAAUCCAUGAGCCCUGUGCAGAAACCCUCUAGGUCUGUUCCUCUCAGGACAUUAAAUCAUUCACUUUUUAUUUCUAAUAUAGUCCCAUGAUUUUAUUUCCUAAGAAACUUUAGAAAGUUUACAGCUUUUGAACUAUAUGUCCAUCCACUAUUUGACAUCCUGGGGGUUACUGGCCCACCCAGGAGCUUUCAUGAUCAGGUCAAAAUCACAUGUAUCCAUUGGGCUUCAGGGCAGAACAUGCAUCCUCAGAUGAUUGUUGUACACAGAAAAUUAGGGAACACAGCUAAGAUCAAUACCAGGGAGCUCCCAAAUGGCAGUUCCAUUUUCAUUCCUUCAUUAAAAUCAUAAAAUCCAUAAUAAUUCCUGGUUAGCAAUAAACACAAUCAUUGUGCUACAUCAUAAAUCACACCUUCUGAUCGACAGAAAAUGAGAAUAAUAUUAUAAAAUAAAAUAACAAUGAUAAUAAUGCCAUAACUUAAGAUCUUUCAUGUAGUCCAGCUACAGAAUUUUUACAAAAUGGAAUAAUUUAAUGCAAACAAUACUGUUCUUUGUAUAAAUUAAACAUUUUCCUUCAUCCUACCUAAGAGCUAUAAAUCACAGACACUACAUUUUAAAUCAAUGUAUCAACAUAAAGUGUAAACAAAUGGAUCAAACAAGCAAAAGGAAUUCUAAAUUCCCUCCUGCCUUUCCUUUUUGGCUGAUACAAUCAGUGAAACCCAGAGGAGUGACAACAUUUUCAUGUGCAUUGGAAAUGGUUUAACAGCUGUCUGUGCAAGUAUUUCCUAAUGUCCAACAUGAUGCAAUGUCAAAGAGUCCAGCGAAUCUAGAGAGGUUGUUUGACAGUAAUCUAUCUUGGAGACAGGGACAGGUACUAGGUCAACAUCUAUUUGUACAUAAACUUCUAAAUAAAAUUUUCCAUAAUGCCAAGGCACCAUGAAGUACCUUGGAAUGCUUUUCAGAGCCCAUGACCCUGGAGACAGGCAGGACCUCAUGCUUUUGGCAAAUGUAAAAAUCUUUCCUAUCUCUGCUCAGCAUCACUUGUUCUUUCCACAAAUGUUCAAAUCCAGUUCCUUAAAACUGCAUUGAUUUGGAGUGAAGUAAAAGAUAUUUUACAAGUAGCAUUGAACAAAAAUGCUAUGGUGCUGGGAGAGGAGUUGCCUUUUGCAGGUUGCUUGUUUUUGCCUUUAUUUUGACAGUGGUAGCCAGUCAUUAAGACUUCUAAGAUAGGCCGGGCACAGUGACUCAUGCCUGUAAUCCCAGCACUUUGGGAGGCCGAGGCAGGCGGAUCACCUGAGGUCAGGAGUUUGAGACAAGCCUGGCCAACAUGGUGAAACCCCAUCUCUACUAAAAAUACAAAAUUAGCUGGGUGUGGUGGCGGGCGCCUGUCAUCCCAGCUACUUGGGAGGCUGAGGCAGGAGAAUCGCUUGAACCCGGGAGGUGGAGGUUGUAGUGAACCAAGGUUGUGCCAUUGCACUCUAGCCUGGGCAAAAAGAGCGAAACUCUGUCAAAAAACAAAACAAAAUAAAACAAAACAAAACAACAACAAAAAACAAAACAAAACAACAAAAAAAGAACUUCCAACAUAGAAUGAGCUAGUAAAUGAAAACAAAGGGAUGGUUUGGGCUCAGACAUUGUAUAGACACACACACAUCCUAGCUGCCUUCAAAGUCUGUUCUCCCGCUUGAAUCAAUAUGACUCAAGUAGACAAGCAACCUGGUUCCAGAGAGGGGUGAUUCCAUCUUCUCCACGUAGCUGAACUGAGUGAUCCUGAGAAUGGAGUUUUAUAAAUUCCACGUUCGCUUUCCUAACACCGUUGUAGAUGUUCUUCCUCUCUUACCCUUUUCUCCUCCUCAGUACUGCCCCCCAACCUUUGUUCCUACCGUAAGUGGUCAGCAGACAGAAAGGAAAUGAGCUACAAGGAAAUGGCACUUGAGUGUGAAAGGUCAACACAUUGGGUCAAGGUCAUGACAGUGACAGCACUACAAAGGGA